Molecule: non-coding RNA, 130 nt
Filed under: Cetobacterium somerae
Lineage: Bacteria; Fusobacteriati; Fusobacteriota; Fusobacteriia; Fusobacteriales; Fusobacteriaceae
Also listed under: 1 other name
Description: FMN sequence
Rfam family: FMN riboswitch aptamer (RFN element)
About the family: The RFN element is a highly conserved domain that is found frequently in the 5'-untranslated regions of prokaryotic mRNAs that encode for flavin mononucleotide (FMN) biosynthesis and transport proteins. This element is a metabolite-dependent riboswitch that directly binds FMN in the absence of proteins.
Source: RNAcentral
GAUAAACUUCAGGGCAGGGUGAGCUUUUAAUUAGCAAUUCCCGACCGGCGGUGAUAGUCCGCGAAACCUUCGGGUUUGAUUUGGUGAAACUCCAAAACCGACAGUAUAGUCUGGAUGGAAGAAGUGUUUU